RNAcentral lists this transfer-messenger RNA (394 nucleotides) under bovine gut metagenome. It matches the Rfam family "transfer-messenger RNA". From Rfam's summary of the family: Bacterial tmRNA, also known as 10Sa RNA or SsrA, is named for its dual tRNA and mRNA-like properties. Its role is to liberate the mRNA from a stalled ribosome. The record is from RNAcentral.
GGGGAUGCCACGGUUUUGACGUUGUGAUUGGUAUAUCCGGAUUGCGAGUCCGAGAGCUGUUCUCGGUUAUCAACGGGCAAACUAAAUUAAAUGCUAACGAUAACGUAGUUAGAGUUGACUUUGGUGCAAGAGCACUUGCUGCAUAGUUUCAGCAAUCAACCAUUCUUCCUGACCAGCUUGCCGUUAGGAAUAGAAUGACCGUAUGCAAGACGCAGUACGCAAAUGAUGGUAUGCGUAUCAAGUUAACCAUUGGAGGUUAGGCUUCCGUUAAAAAGUCUUUGACUUCGAUUAGGUUUUGUAAUUUUCCUUGCGAAAGUUGAGAUAAUAAGUUACUACACUCGUAGAUAUCAGUUUGUAUCCGCAUCGGACGCGGGUUCGACUCCCGCCAUCUCCA